AUUGAACGCUGGCGGCAGGCCUAACACAUGCAAGUCGAACGGUAGCACAGAGAGCUUGCUCUCGGGUGACGAGUGGCGGACGGGUGAGUAAUGUCUGGGAAACUGCCCGAUGGAGGGGGAUAACUACUGGAAACGGUAGCUAAUACCGCAUAACGUCGCAAGACCAAAGUGGGGGACCUUCGGGCCUCACACCAUCGGAUGUGCCCAGAUGGGAUUAGCUAGUAGGUGGGGUAAUGGCUCACCUAGGCGACGAUCCCUAGCUGGUCUGAGAGGAGGACCAGCAAGACUGGAACUGAGACACGGUCCAGACGCCUACGGGAGGCAGCAGUGGGGAAUAUUGCACAAGGGGCGCAAGCCUGAUGCAGCCAUGCCGCGUGUAUGAAGAAGGCCUUCGGGUUGUAAAGUACUUUCAGCGGGGAGGAAGGCGGUGAAGUUAAUAGCUUCACCGAUUGACGUUACCCGCAGAAGAAGCACCGGCUAACUCCGUGCCAGCAGCCGCCGUAA
RNAcentral lists this ribosomal RNA (504 nucleotides) under uncultured bacterium. Its description in RNAcentral is "partial 16S ribosomal RNA". It matches the Rfam family "Bacterial small subunit ribosomal RNA", at positions 29 to 523 of the family's 1533-position model. The record is from RNAcentral.